AUUGAACGCUGGCGGUAUGCUUAAGACAUGCAAGUCGAACGGUAACAGGCAGAGCUUGCUCUGUGCUGACGAGUGGCAGACGGGUGAGUAACACGUGGAAAUCUGCCCAGUAGCGGGGGAUAACCCGGAGAAAUCCGGACUAAUACCGCAUACGCCCUACGGGGGAAAGGCUUCGGCCACUAUUGGAUGAGUCCGCGUUAGAUUAGCUAGUUGGUGAGGUAAGGGCUCACCAAGGCGACGAUCUAUAGCUGGUCUGAGAGGAUGAUCAGCCACAUUGGGACUGAGACACGGCCCAGACUCCUACGGGAGGCAGCAGUCGGGAAUAUUGGACAAUGGGCGAAAGCCUGAUCCAGCAAUACCGCGUGUGUGAAGAAGGCCUGCGGGUUGUAAAGCACUUUCAGUAGGGAAGAUAAUGACGUUACCUACAGAAGAAGCACCGGCUAACUCCGUGCCAGCAGCCGCGGUAAUACGGAGGGUGCGAGCGUUAAUCGGAAUUACUGGGCGUAAAGCGCACGUAAGCGGUUUAUUAAGUCAGAUGUGAAAUCCCCGGGCUCAACCUGGGAACUGCACCUGAUACUGGUAAACUAGAAUUUGGGAGAGGCGAGUGGAAUUUCCGGUGUAGCGGUGAAAUGCAUAGAGAUCGGAAGGAACACCAGUGGCGAAGGCGACUCGCUGGCCCGAAAUUGACGCUGGGGCGCGAAAGCGUGGGUAGCAAACAGGAUUAGAUACCCUGGUAGUCCACGCCGUAAACGAUGUCAACUAGCCGUUGGUUUCUUUAAAGGAAUCAGUGGUGCAGCUAACGCAUUAAGUUGACCGCCUGGGGAGUACNCGCGCAAGCGUAAAACUCAAAGGAAUUGACG
Molecule: ribosomal RNA, 860 nt
Filed under: uncultured Gammaproteobacteria bacterium
Lineage: Bacteria; Pseudomonadati; Pseudomonadota; Gammaproteobacteria
Description: bacterial SSU rRNA
Rfam family: Bacterial small subunit ribosomal RNA
Source: RNAcentral